UACAGAGGGGGCAAGCGUUGUUCGGAAUUACUGGGCGGAAAGGGCGCGUAGGCGGCCUUCUAAGUCGAACGUGAAAUCCCCGGGCUCAACCCGGGAACUGCGUCCGAUACUGGGAGGCUUGAAUCCGGGAGAGGGAUGUGGAAUUCCAGGUGUAGCGGUGAAAUGCGUAGAUAUCUGGAGGAACACCGGUGGCGAAGGCGGCAUCCUGGACCGGUAUUGACGCUGAGGCGCGAAAGCCAGGGGAGCAAACGGG
This 253-nucleotide ribosomal RNA is filed under the name uncultured bacterium. RNAcentral's name for it is "partial 16S ribosomal RNA". It matches the Rfam family "Bacterial small subunit ribosomal RNA", at positions 524 to 776 of the family's 1533-position model. The record is from RNAcentral.